AGAGUCAACGCUGGCGGCGUGCCUAACACAUGCAAGUCGAACGAGAAAGGGGAGCAAUCCCUGAGUAAAGUGGCGACCGGGUGAGUAACACGUGACUAACCUACCUUCGAGUGGGGGAUAACUCCGGGAAACCGUGGCUAAUACCGCAUAACAUCCUCGGAUCGGAAGAACUGGGGAUCAAAGGAGCAAUUCGCUUGAAGAGGGAGUCGCGGCUGAUUAGCUUGUUGGCGGGGUAAUGGCCCACCAAGGCGAUGAUCGGUAUCCGGCCUGAGAGGGCGCACGGACACACUGGAACUGAAACACGGUCCAGACUCCUACGGAGGCAGCAGUGGGGAAUUUUGCGCAAUGGGGGAAACCCUGACGCAGCAACGCCGCGUGGAGGAUGAAGUCCCUUGGGACGUAAACUCCUUUCGACCGGACGAUAAUGACGGUACCGGUGGAAGAAGCCCGGCUAACUUCGCGCCAGCAGCCGC
This 473-nucleotide ribosomal RNA is filed under the name uncultured bacterium. RNAcentral describes it as "SSU rRNA". It matches the Rfam family "Bacterial small subunit ribosomal RNA", at positions 26 to 518 of the family's 1533-position model. The record is from RNAcentral.